AACGAACGCUGGCGGCAGGCUUAACACAUGCAAGUCGAACGCCCCUCGGGGAGUGGCGCACGGGUGAGUAACGCGUGGGAACGUACCCUUCAGUACGGAAUAACGUCGGGAAACUGACGCUAAUACCGUAUAUAUCUACGGAUGAAAGAUUUAUCGCUGAAGGAUCGGCCCGCGUUAGAUUAGCUAGUUGGUGAGGUAAUGGCUUACCAAGGCGACGAUCUAUAGCUGGUCUGAGAGGAUGAUCAGCCACACUGGAACUGAGACACGGUCCAGACUCCUACGGGAGGCAGCAGUGGGGAAUAUUGGACAAUGGGCGCAAGCCUGAUCCAGCCAUGCCGCGUGAGUGAUGAAGGCCUUAGGGUUGUAAAAGCUCUUUAGCAGGGGAAGAUAAUGACGGUACCCCUGAGAAUAAGCACCGGCUAACUUCGUGCCAGCAGCCGCGGUAAUACGAAGGGUGCUAGCGUUGUUCGGAAUCACUGGGCGUAAAAGCGUGCGUAGGCGGCUUGGUAAGUUUGGUGUGAAAAGCCCGGGGCUCAACCCCGGAUGUGCAUUGAAAACUGCCUUGCUGGAGGACGGAAGAGGAGAGUGGAAUUCCUAGUGUAGAGGUGAAAUUCGUAGAUAUUAGGAGGAACACCAGAGGCGAAGGCGACUCUCUGGUCCGUUUCUGACGCUGAGGCACGAAAGCGUGGGGAUCAAACAGGAUUAGAUA
RNAcentral lists this ribosomal RNA (709 nucleotides) under uncultured bacterium. RNAcentral's name for it is "bacterial SSU rRNA". It matches the Rfam family "Bacterial small subunit ribosomal RNA", at positions 28 to 784 of the family's 1533-position model. The record is from RNAcentral.